AAUAAAUCCAGGCUACGCAUGUGUCAUAUAUAGUAGAACCUCGUUCGCAAGAACAUGCACUGCCUGCUCGUCUAAGCUUCAAACAUCGAUAUAUGAUAAUGGAUUGCCAAGUAGAAGAAACUGAGCAUUUUCAGCGUCUGUUCCUCUUCUAAUCCGAUCAAACUUCCAAGAAUGCAAAAACCAGGCAUUGGUGUUCUGUACGGGGAGAGAGCUUUCACUGAAAGAACUGCACAGAAAAAUUUUACAUGUGUCAAGGGAGCGAAUUUGAACAACACAAAUCUCAUCUUCCGGCCGAUCAUUGCAGUUCACUAAAGAUUGCUUGAACGAGAUCAUUCGCCUGGGUCCAUACCAACCCACUUGGAAAUUAGCACAGCAGAUUGGUACGUCGUGAUGUUAUUGUUGGUAAUCUUCACUCUAUGUGCAAGGUUCAAAUCACUGUACGUGUAUGCCACGUGCUAUGAACAGGAGAAACAUACUCCAGCGCUUCUGUAACCCGUUAAUUUACUCGCUUGACAUCAGGUUACUUGUGGGCAUUAACAUAAGCUUUUAUACUGCUUUGGACUGGUUGUAAAAAUAGUCUCUUUACGACACUAUGAAGUUAAAAAAAAAUGGAUGAGUCCCCAAAAGCUAGGAACAACUUGAACCAAGCCAGAAAUGCAUCCAGGUGAGAAUUGAGAAAACAUAAAGAAAAAUAGCGAAGUGGACCGAGAAGCUCGAUGAAAUAUUGAUUCAGUACAUUAAAUAGGGUGAGAAAGUGUUGGGGAGAAAAACAUUAGUUUUUGAAUGAUGCUAUGAAUAAAAGCCGACUAUAUUUGACUGAAAAUAUUUAGAUAAUUGCUAUGUUUCUAUAUUAUCCAUGUUGAGGUAUACGUCUUUCUAACAUUAAGAAAAAUUAGAUGGAUGUACAUACAUAUAGUGUGAGAAAAACAGAGAUAAUAAGGAGUUUGACUCAUUAGUUUCAGGUGUUUAUGACUAUAUUUUAUAUAUCCUAAAUUUGGUACUUUAUUAAUGUGAUCUAUAUGAGAAAAUUCUUCAAAUACUAUUUUUAAAAAUCGUAAUUUAUCUAACAAGGGAAAUCAAAGAAAAAUUACGUUUAUGAAUGUAUCAAAUAUCUUUCCGCAAAAAUGAUAUACCUGUUCGAAGGCGACAAUACAAUCAGUCGCUUAUUCUCUCAUACACAUUAAUGC
RNAcentral lists this long non-coding RNA (1187 nucleotides) under Octopus sinensis (East Asian common octopus). RNAcentral describes it as "uncharacterized LOC118764042, transcript variant X1". The record is from RNAcentral. Lineage: Eukaryota; Metazoa; Mollusca; Cephalopoda; Octopoda; Octopodidae.